Molecule: small nuclear RNA, 107 nt
Filed under: Nannospalax galili (Upper Galilee mountains blind mole rat)
Lineage: Eukaryota; Metazoa; Chordata; Mammalia; Rodentia; Spalacidae
Source: RNAcentral
GUGCUUGCUUUGGCAGCACAUAUACUAAAAUUGGAACGAUACAAAGAAGAUUGGCAUGGCCCCUGUGCAAAUAUGAAACUCAAAUAAGUGAAGCAUUCCAUAUUUUU